AUGGUUACUCUGCAAUUCACACUUGGCUAAGAUCAAAGUGUAGUAUCUGUUCUUAUCAGCUUAAUAUCUGAUACGUCCUGCAUCGCAGGACCAGAAUAUUAAACUCAUUUUUGGCUCAUGACAGAGUGCUAGGGGCUUGCUCCACCUCUGUCACAGGUUGGCCCGGCAUUACAGUACCGCCGGGAUCGGCCCACCUAAA
This 199-nucleotide small nuclear RNA is filed under the name Schistocerca americana (American grasshopper). RNAcentral describes it as "U2 spliceosomal RNA". It matches the Rfam family "U2 spliceosomal RNA". Rfam says of the family: U2 is a small nuclear RNA (snRNA) component of the spliceosome (involved in pre-mRNA splicing). Lineage: Eukaryota; Metazoa; Arthropoda; Insecta; Orthoptera; Acrididae. The record is from RNAcentral. RNAcentral also lists the same sequence under 1 other name.